AUUGAACGCUGGCGGCAUGCUUUACACAUGCAAGUCGAACGGCAGCGCGGGGCAACCUGGCGGCGAGUGGCGAACGGGUGAGUAAUGUAUCGGAACGUACCCAGAAGUGGGGGAUAACGUAGCGAAAGUUACGCUAAUACCGCAUACGAUCUACGGAUGAACGUGGGGGACCUUCGGGCCUCAUGCUUGUGGAGCGGCCGAUAUCUGAUUAGCUAGUUGGUGGGGUAAAGGCCCACCAAGGCGACGAUCAGUAGCUGGUCUGAGAGGACGACCAGCCACACUGGGACUGAGACACGGCCCAGACUCCUACGGGAGGCAGCAGUGGGGAAUUUUGGACAAUGGGCGCAAGCCUGAUCCAGCAAUGCCGCGUGAGUGAAGAAGGCCUUCGGGUUGUAAAGCUCUUUUGUCAGGGAAGAAACGGGACUGGAUAAUACCUGGUCCUAAUGACGGUACCUGAAGAAUAAGCACCGGCUAACUACGUGCCAGCCGCCGCCGUAA
Molecule: ribosomal RNA, 498 nt
Filed under: uncultured bacterium
Lineage: Bacteria
Description: partial 16S ribosomal RNA
Rfam family: Bacterial small subunit ribosomal RNA
Source: RNAcentral